This 420-nucleotide ribosomal RNA is filed under the name uncultured bacterium. Its description in RNAcentral is "bacterial SSU rRNA". It matches the Rfam family "Bacterial small subunit ribosomal RNA", at positions 355 to 774 of the family's 1533-position model. The record is from RNAcentral.
UAAGGAAUAUUGCUCAAUGGGAGAAAUCCUGAAGCAGCAACGCCGCGUGGAGGAUGAAGGGUCUAUGACUUGUAAACUCCUGUAAAGAAGGAAAAAAUUCCCAUUAGAUGGGAGAUGAUGGUACUUCUGGAGUAAGCCCCGGCUAACUACGUGCCAGCAGCCGCGGUAAUACGUAGGGGGCAAGCGUUGUCCGGAUUUACUGGGUGUAAAGUGUGCUCAGGCGGAUUUGUAAGUCAGAGGUGAAAUCUUACAGCUUAACUGUGAAACUGCCUUUGAUACUGCAAGCCUAGAGUAUGGAAGAGAGUGAUGGAAUAUCUGGUGUAGCAGUGAAAUGCGUAGAUAUCAGAUAGAACACCAAUGGCGAAGGCAGUCACUUGGUCCAUUACUGACGCUAAAGCACGAAAGCGUGGGUAGCAAACA